GACGAACGCUGGCGGCGUGCUUAACACAUGCAAGUCGAGCGGUAAGGCCUUUCGGGGUACACGAGCGGCGAACGGGUGAGUAACACGUGGGUGAUCUGCCCUGCACUUCGGGAUAAGCCUGGGAAACUGGGUCUAAUACCGGAUAUGACCUCCUAUCGCAUGGUGGGUGGUGGAAAGAUUUAUCGGUGCAGGAUGGGCCCGCGGCCUAUCAGCUUGUUGGUGGGGUAAUGGCCUACCAAGGCGACGACGGGUAGCCGACCUGAGAGGGUGACCGGCCACACUGGGACGGAGACACGGCCCAGACGCCUACGGGAGGCAGCAGUGGGGAAUAUUGAACAAUGGGCGAAAGCCUGAUGCAGCGACGCCGCGUGAGGGAUGACGGCCUUCGGGUUGUAAACCUCUUUCAGCAGGGACGAAGCGCAAGUGACGGUACCUGCAGAAGAAGCACCGGCUAACUACGUG
Molecule: ribosomal RNA, 462 nt
Filed under: uncultured bacterium
Lineage: Bacteria
Description: partial 16S ribosomal RNA
Rfam family: Bacterial small subunit ribosomal RNA
Source: RNAcentral